RNAcentral lists this non-coding RNA (30 nucleotides) under Mus musculus (house mouse). The record is from RNAcentral. Lineage: Eukaryota; Metazoa; Chordata; Mammalia; Rodentia; Muridae.
UGGACUAUUUCCCUUAUCAUCUAUCCUCCC